GUGGGGUAAAGGCCCACCAAGGCGACGAUCCGUAGCGGGUCUGAGAGGAUGAUCCGCCACACUGGGACUGAGACACGGCCCAGACUCCUACGGGAGGCAGCAGUGGGGAAUUUUGGACAAUGGGGGCAACCCUGAUCCAGCCAUGCCGCGUGAGUGAAGAAGGCCUUCGGGUUGUAAAGCUCUUUCGGCCGGGAAGAAAUCGCACGGGAUAAUACCUCGUGUGGAUGACGGUACCGGAAUAAGAAGCACCGGCUAACUACGUGCCAGCAGCCGCGGUAAUACGUAGGGUGCGAGCGUUAAUCGGAAUUACUGGGCGUAAAGCGUGCGCAGGCGGCUUUGUAAGACAGGCGUGAAAUCCCCGGGCUCAACCUGGGAACUGCGCUUGUGACUGCAAAGCUCGAGUGUGGCAGAGGGGGGUAGAAUUCCACGUGUA
This 433-nucleotide ribosomal RNA is filed under the name uncultured bacterium. RNAcentral describes it as "bacterial SSU rRNA". It matches the Rfam family "Bacterial small subunit ribosomal RNA", at positions 252 to 677 of the family's 1533-position model. The record is from RNAcentral.